This 905-nucleotide unclassified non-coding RNA is filed under the name Hevea brasiliensis (rubber tree). Lineage: Eukaryota; Viridiplantae; Streptophyta; Magnoliopsida; Malpighiales; Euphorbiaceae. The record is from RNAcentral.
GAUUACUGGUCUCAGUGGUUCAGGUUUGUUAAGUGUUUUUGUUUUUUGAAAUGAUUAUUAGUUUCUGUUGUAGUGCUUUUUGCGAUAAAAUAAUAGCUAAUUUGCUUCAUUGGCCUCAAGUAAGAACACAAGGCAUGUUAUUUGUGUAUGAUUUCUGCUUGCAAUAAAGUUAUCGCAACCCAUGUUGUACAAUUAGUGAUUCAACUCCAAAUUUCGCCUACCCCUUUCUCCCAUUGAACAAUGGAGUGAAAUUUGCAUAAAUAGUGAUCAAAGUAGUGCUUUUUGAUGUUUUAUAAUUUCUGUGUCAUAAAUAAAUUUGCUAAAAUUCAUGCUAUCUUUUGACUGAUGAGGCUUGAUGCCAUCCAGAAAAUCUGUUGACUAGGAUAGGAAGGCAUGAUCCAUGCUAUGAGAUUGCUACGUGUUAAGACAUUGGUACAAUGAGACCAAUGCAAAAUAUGAAUUCCAAAUGGGUAGUCGAAAGCACCAUACAGAAACUUAAGGCAGUUUGUUUAUAAUUAUGUGACUUAUGAUAAUUCUCUAGGGCAAACUAAAUAUAGUAUUUAUUCUAAAAUCAAGUGCAACUUUAUGAACAACUGGUACAUAAUUCUCAGGUUAUCCAGUUGUGUCUAUUGACAGUGUAAUGACUGAUCUGAUCUUUGAGGAAUCUAUUGUUUAACCGUGAAAAGUGAAAACUAAGAAUUUUACAUACUUCAUAUAUGGAGUACUGAACUUCUAAUGCAACUGUAAGCAUGUUCAAAAUUUAGGCAUUUGUCAGGGCCAAAGAAUUUCUAGCAUACCUUGCGCACUCUGAUGUUUUGGAGUCUUACCUUUUGCUAUUCCUAAUCCUAAAUCAUUGUUCAUUCUCUCUGUUAAACUGUUACCUCAGGAAAAAGCACUUUGGCAUG